Ctenopharyngodon idella (grass carp) is the source of this 1686-nucleotide long non-coding RNA. RefSeq lists it as uncharacterized. NCBI's taxonomy places the organism in Eukaryota, Metazoa, Chordata, Actinopteri, Cypriniformes, Xenocyprididae. The record is from RefSeq and is a predicted model, not a curated record. The transcript is spliced from 5 exons.
CAUUGUUCGGUGGUUGAAUCGGCUCAGUGCCGAUCCAUGUACAAAACAGAUCACACCAGGUAGAGAGAGUGAGAGCACAUCUUACUGCUGAUCGGAAAAAGUUCUAUGAAUAUAUAAUAGAGAGGUCGCAGUUUCAUUAAUCAGGUUUCCUGUGUAUCUUGUAACGAGGGGAUUCUGUUCGUUGAUCAGUGAGGAGUGUGAAACCUUAGAUGGCGAGCCAACCAACUGGAUCUUCUGGAGUCUCUGCGAACUUGAACUUCAAAUCCUGAGAAACAUUAUGUGGUGGGUUACAAAAUGAUUAACUGAUUAUCAGCAAACGUGACCAACUCUAUAAAAGCAGAUGUUUUGGCAGUUUGCUGCUCUGGAGCCCUCAGUGAAAGAGAUUAUUUAGAAUUGGAAAACAUUCAAAACAGUUGCAAAUCUUCCCAGGAUGGACGUCCCAGCAGAUUCACCCCAAGAUCAGACCGUGCAAUGCUCAGAGAAACUGCAAAAACACAAGAGCUACACCUCAGACUCUACAGGCCUCAGUUAACAUGUGAAAUGUAAAAUGACUGGGAGAAACGCUCUAAAAAGAUCACAGCAGCACGGCUUAGGUUUGCAAAAUUGCAUCUGAACAAACGUCAAGUCUUCUGGAACAAUGUCCUUUGGAAAGAUGAGACCAAAGUGGAGAAAGUCAUACAGAAAAUGAUUACUUCAAGUUAUUGUUGUUAAAGGUGGUUCUACAAGCUAUUGAAUCAUCAGGUGCACUUAGUUUUUCACACGUCUCCAUUUUGGCCUAGUUUUUGUUAAAUGAAUAAUGACCAGGGUUGGGGAAAGUUACUUUUAAAAGUAAUGCAUUACAAUAAUGCGUUCCUCCCUAAAAAAAGUAACUAAUUGCGUUACUUAGUUACUUUUUUAUGGAAAGUAAUGCGUUACAUUACUUUUGUUUACUUUUGCUCACCUGGGCUGGGCUGGGCUUGUUUGUUUUUUAAUAACAACAAAAAAGUUCUAUUUUUGGCAAAUGUUAAAGCCCUUUCACACCAAAAGUGAAACGAAUAAGCCUCAGGGUGAAGGAAAUGCAUAUUUACUCCUGUACAGUAGAGGGCGCAGCUCAAACAAACUUUUCAGCUGUGCUGCCAUUCUGGAUUGCAGAAGAAUAGCAUACAGGAGAAGAGAAGGGUCUGGCAGCAGACCGUGGGUGAGUGGAGCUCCACUCUCGAACAGGAAAUAUGUCACCUCCACUUGUGUUUUACUAACGUCUACACCUACCCCAACCCUAAACCUACCCUUACAAUAAUGCAAAUACAGUCAUUAAAUGACGCAAAAUUAAUUUGUGUUUUAUUAAUGUCUACAACUACCCCAACCCUAAACCUACCCUCACAAUAAGCUCCACUAGUGGAGGUGACGUAUUUCCGCCAUUGAGUGGAGCUCCACUCGCCCCCUCAGGCUGUAGCCAGCCCCUAUUGCAGGAGAAGGAAGUUCAAAACUCUUAUUUCUAAAUCUAAUCUAAAGUAUUUUUUUUUUUUUUUUUUUUUUUUUUUUUUUAAUAUGGUUGAAUUAGGCCAUUGAAAGUCAGCAGCAAAGAUAUUGGUUAAUAAAGUGAGAUUAAAUACAUAAAGUAUAUGUGUUGUUGUUCUUCUGAGGUUGUAUUUACCUAAUUUUAAGACCUGCUAAAGACCAGAUGAUUUUUUUUAUGUCCUGAUUAGA